UACAGAGGUGGCAAGCGUUGUUCGGAAUUACUGGGCGUAAAGGGCGAGUAGGCGGCCUUCUAAGUCAGACGUGAAAUCCCCCGGCUUAACCUGGGAACUGCGUCUGAUACUGGAAGGCUUGAGUGCGGGAGAGGGAUGUGGAAUUCCAGGUGUAGCGGUGAAAUGCGUAGAUAUCGGGAGGAACACCAGUGGCGAAGGCGGUUAGCUGGCCUGUAACUGACACUGAGGCGCGAAGGCUAGGGGAGCGAACAGG
RNAcentral lists this ribosomal RNA (253 nucleotides) under uncultured bacterium. RNAcentral's name for it is "partial 16S ribosomal RNA". It matches the Rfam family "Bacterial small subunit ribosomal RNA", at positions 524 to 776 of the family's 1533-position model. The record is from RNAcentral.